GCAGAAGUAGUUCAGCGGUAGAAUACAACCUUGCCAAGGUUGGGGUCGCGGGUUCGACUCCCGUCUUCUGCUCCA
Molecule: transfer RNA, 75 nt
Filed under: Staphylococcus aureus
Lineage: Bacteria; Bacillati; Bacillota; Bacilli; Caryophanales; Staphylococcaceae
Also listed under: 12 other names
Description: tRNA-Gly
Rfam family: tRNA
About the family: Transfer RNA (tRNA) molecules are approximately 80 nucleotides in length. Their secondary structure includes four short double-helical elements and three loops (D, anti-codon, and T loops). Further hydrogen bonds mediate the characteristic L-shaped molecular structure. tRNAs have two regions of fundamental functional importance: the anti-codon, which is responsible for specific mRNA codon recognition, and the 3' end, to which the tRNAs corresponding amino acid is attached (by aminoacyl-tRNA synthetases). tRNAs cope with the degeneracy of the genetic code in two manners: having more than one tRNA (with a specific anti-codon) for a particular amino acid; and 'wobble' base-pairing, i.e. permitting non-standard base-pairing at the 3rd anti-codon position.
Source: RNAcentral